This 233-nucleotide long non-coding RNA is filed under the name Elaeis guineensis (African oil palm). RNAcentral's name for it is "long non-coding RNA (EGUI_LNC067163)". The record is from RNAcentral. Lineage: Eukaryota; Viridiplantae; Streptophyta; Magnoliopsida; Arecales; Arecaceae.
UGAGCUCUCGGUACGGCCCUUGCUAUGGACGCCUUAAAUCUUCGACUUCCUCUUCUAGUUUCCUCUUUUUCAGCAGUAUAUCCUGGAACAUCCGGUGGAACCACCGACACUCGUCCUCUGACUCUCGAAGCCUCCUCCUCAGGACCUCAGACUCUGCCUCGACAUCCUUGAUUGCCUGCUGCUCGUGGACUAGCUAAAUCUUCAGCCGCUGCAGUUUGACCUCUCCCCGCCCA